Molecule: long non-coding RNA, 407 nt
Organism: Manihot esculenta (cassava)
Lineage: Eukaryota; Viridiplantae; Streptophyta; Magnoliopsida; Malpighiales; Euphorbiaceae
Exons: 2
Source: RefSeq, a predicted model, not a curated record
UAAUUGAACGUUAAUUAUAAAAAAUUGUAUUUUUAAAAAAAAGGAGACAUGAUAAAGAUUAGGGGUGAUUGGAGUAAUAUUUACAUUAUUUGAAAAAGCGGAUAAAAAGUCAAAAGCCUCUGGAACCAGCGGGAGGAGCCCAGAGGGAGGAGAGAGAUGGGAAGUGAUGGCGAGGCAGAGAAACCGAACAUCAAACGGAAGAAGAAAACUAUAGCUUGUUCUUAAUGUAUUCUUUGACGAACAUCUGAAUCUAAAUGCUUAAAGAGAGGAGUGAAGGACGUGGUCAAGAGCAUUCUGCUGAGGCCACAAAGGGUUUAUCUUUGAUUUCCCACUAUCUUGCUAAAAUGCUAUUGAGAAAACGUUUGUAUGGUUCUUAAUCCUGAUAUUUUGCCAAAAUCUGUUAAGCA